RNAcentral lists this ribosomal RNA (543 nucleotides) under Triticum aestivum (bread wheat). RNAcentral's name for it is "partial small subunit ribosomal RNA". The record is from RNAcentral. Lineage: Eukaryota; Viridiplantae; Streptophyta; Magnoliopsida; Poales; Poaceae.
AUGCACCACGCGAUUAGCCUGCAGUUCUUCGACUGCUGGAAGAUUCUCAAGGCGGCAGAGAGGGAGCGCUGGGCGAGAGUUGCUCGGGCGGUGCCCGCCAAGGUGCUCGCCUUGGCCAAGUUCGUCCCGUCCGAGCCGGCCGACGCAACGCCCAGCGAGAAGGUGCAGAGCGCCCACGGAGAGCUGUCCCGCCUGAUGGUGCUCCACGACGUUGCGGGCCGCGACCUUAAGUUGUCGGCGCUGCACCUCGGCGUGCCCCACGACGACCUGUGGCAGAGGUGGUGCACCCGCCACGCCGAGGUCACUCGCGCCGGGCACCAGACCCUCGGCUCCCUGCGCUCCGCCGUCAACACCAUCGACCUCCUCGACCCCACGAGCGGCAGCGCCACCAACAAGACGGGACUGGGGCACGAGACGGAGCUCCUCCUCCGCGCCCAGGACGAAAUUCAGUCGGCACGAGAUGGUCUUCGUCAGAUGCGGAGCGCAGCGACGUUAGAGGUUUUCGACGCUGCGUGGAUCGCCCUCAAGCGGCAGCCAGCGUGA